GGCUGGAGAGAUGGCUCAGCGGUUAAGAGCACUGACUGCUCUUCCAGAGGCCCUGAGUUCAAUUCCCAGCAGCCA
RNAcentral lists this transfer RNA (75 nucleotides) under Mus musculus (house mouse). RNAcentral's name for it is "tRNA-Ser". The record is from RNAcentral. Lineage: Eukaryota; Metazoa; Chordata; Mammalia; Rodentia; Muridae.